CCACUAUAAUCAUGUUGUCAUAUUAUACUCAUAUUAUCAUGCAUUCUUUUUCUAUUUUUGCAAUUCCACCCUUAAUCAUAAUUUUUGGCAUUUUUCUCCACCCUACUAUCUUUAUCUUUUACUUUGUAUGCAUUCAACCUUUUGAUCACGUCACUGAUACUCCUCCACCUUUCCUUCUUUAUUUUCUAUAGAUGGAAAGCCCACCACCACCCUUUG
RNAcentral lists this long non-coding RNA (216 nucleotides) under Brachypodium distachyon (stiff brome). Its description in RNAcentral is "long non-coding RNA (BDIS_LNC002039)". The record is from RNAcentral. Lineage: Eukaryota; Viridiplantae; Streptophyta; Magnoliopsida; Poales; Poaceae.